This 84-nucleotide transfer RNA is filed under the name Lachnellula subtilissima. It matches the Rfam family "tRNA". Rfam says of the family: Transfer RNA (tRNA) molecules are approximately 80 nucleotides in length. The record is from Rfam by way of RNAcentral. Lineage: Eukaryota; Fungi; Ascomycota; Leotiomycetes; Helotiales; Lachnaceae.
GCCUCUUUAGCUCAGGGGCAGAGCGCACCACUUGUAUAAUCAUAUAUAAUGGUGAGGUCCAUGGUUCAAUUCCGUGAAGAGGCA